Molecule: small nuclear RNA, 104 nt
Organism: Gordionus sp. m RMFG-2023
Lineage: Eukaryota; Metazoa; Nematomorpha; Gordioida; Chordodea; Parachordodidae
Source: RefSeq, a predicted model, not a curated record
UGAAAAUCAAAUAUUAAAAUAUAAUAAUUGGAACGAUACAGAGAAGAUUAGCAUGACCCCUGCGCGAGGAUGACACGCAAAAUCGUAAAGCCUUUCUAAUAUUU